CUUGCCUACGGGGCGCAGCAGUGAGGAAUAUUGGUCAAUGGGCGGAAGCCUGAACCAGCCAAGUCGCGUGAGGGAUUAAGGCCCUAUGGGUCGUAAACCUCUUUUGUCAGGGAGCAACGCCGGCUACGUGUAGCCGGACUGAGAGUACCUGAAGAAAAAGCAUCGGCUAACUCCGUGCCAGCAGCCGCGGUAAUACGGAGGAUGCGAGCGUUAUCCGGAUUUAUUGGGUUUAAAGGGUGCGUAGGCGGAAUGCCAAGUCAGCGGUAAAAUCGCGGGGCUCAACCUCGCUCCGCCGUUGAAACUGG
Molecule: ribosomal RNA, 305 nt
Filed under: uncultured bacterium
Lineage: Bacteria
Description: bacterial SSU rRNA
Rfam family: Bacterial small subunit ribosomal RNA
Source: RNAcentral